GAUGAACGCUGGCGGCGUGCCUAAUACAUGCAAGUCGAGCGAACAGAUGAGGAGCUUGCUCCUCUGACGUUAGCGGCGGACGGGUGAGUAACACGUGGAUAACCUACCUAUAAGACUGGGAUAACUUCGGGAAACCGGAGCUAAUACCGGAUAAUAUAUUGAACCGCAUGGUUCAAUAGUGAAAGACGGUUUUGCUGUCACUUAUAGAUGGAUCCGCGCCGCAUUAGCUAGUUGGUAAGGUAACGGCUUACCAAGGCAACGAUGCGUAGCCGACCUGAGAGGGUGAACGGCCACACAGGAACUGAGACACGGUCCAGACUCCUACGGGAGGCAGCAGUAGGGAAUCUUCCGCAAAGGGCGAAAGCCUGACGGAGCAACGCCGCGUGAGUGAUGAAGGUCUUCGGAUCGUAAAACUCUGUUAUUAGGGAAGAACAAAUGUGUAAGUAACUAUGCACGUCUUGACGGUACCUAAUCAGAAAGCCACGGCUAACUACGUG
Molecule: ribosomal RNA, 497 nt
Filed under: uncultured bacterium
Lineage: Bacteria
Description: partial 16S ribosomal RNA
Rfam family: Bacterial small subunit ribosomal RNA
Source: RNAcentral